CGUUGAGUUCCCCGACGGCCUCCGAGACCGAGACCGCGGAGUGACCGGAGCGAGGGCUGCGCAGUUGGUCCGGGGCGCGAACCGGCUACGCCACGCCGAAUUUGCUUGCAGCGCGGAGCAAAAAGCAGAGCCAGCAGUGCCUCUCUCCUGGACUUGCCUUCUGAGGAGCCGCUCUGGAAAACACUGCGCUGCCCAUCACGGGACAGAGGGGUAGAGUGGGGUUCAGAGGGGUUCAGUCAUGCGCCCAAGAUCACGCAGCUUGGAGGUGACAGACCUGCAUUCGAACCCGGGCAGUCAGUCUCUCGCUGGAGCCUGCUGUGGGGGGCUGCUCCCAGAGCCAGUGCUACCAGAAGGAAGCCCCUCACCAACGUGUGUCCUGGGGUCCAGGAUGAGGGUGACUGGCUGGAGGAGGGGUCUCCUGGAGGAGGUAAUGUCU
This 436-nucleotide long non-coding RNA is filed under the name Heterocephalus glaber (naked mole-rat). RNAcentral describes it as "lncRNA (ENSHGLG00000039185.1)". The record is from RNAcentral. Lineage: Eukaryota; Metazoa; Chordata; Mammalia; Rodentia; Bathyergidae.